This 5963-nucleotide long non-coding RNA is filed under the name Homo sapiens (human). RNAcentral's name for it is "long non-coding RNA NONHSAT167309.1". Lineage: Eukaryota; Metazoa; Chordata; Mammalia; Primates; Hominidae. The record is from RNAcentral.
GACAUACAGCAGCUGUAGGAGGCAGAAAGGAUGUGGCUGUGGAAGGAAACCUUUUGGGUUUCAGCACAGAGUCUGGAAUUCCUGCUUCUGAUCAUCCUAGGCCACAGGCAAGGAGCGUGGCAGAGUCCCCCAGCUAUGGCCCUGGCCUCCCGCCGUCGCCUCCUGAGAACCCACAGGCAAAGGGCAGGGAGGGCGUCAGGUUUCCCCGUGGGGCGGAGCCUGACCAUCUGCUUCCCGCAGUGCCUCCCGCGGAGGUGGACAUGGGGUGGGUAGGUGGCACCCACCAGCGGGGCCCUCCCCAUCUACAGGCACACCUGCCCCCUACUGCUGGUGACACACAGGCAAAGCUCCGGGCCAGUGUCCCCGAGCCUAGGACGCAGGCAGGUGAAUCCCAGGAGCGUCCCCUGACACAGGCGGACCUGGGGAGGCAACAGAGUCACCAGGCACAGGAGGAGACCCCCCAGCCCGGGGAUGCGGGGAAGAGGGUGGCGCCGUCGGGCUCGAAGGUUGUGCUGAACCCAGCAAAAGAGCCUCAGACAUGGUGGGCACAGGAUCUGGCCGGGGACAAAGGGAUGGCCAUUGGGGUUGGGGGCGCCUGCCAGCGCAGUGACCAAGGUCAGCAGCAUCUGCAGGGACCCUGGGAGGAGCGGGGGCGGAGCACGGCGUGGGGAGAGGGCACCAGGGCUGCCAGGAACCCAGCUGUGCCUCCAGGGGAGCCCGAGGGGCCGGGAAGCCCGGCAGCCCAAGGACAGGCCCAGAAACAGGUUCAGGAAUGGGACCGGGGACAGGUUCAGGGACACGCUCAAGAACAGGCCCAGUGGCAGACCCAGAUAGAGGCCCAGGGGCAGGCACAGGAACAGGCUCAGGGUGGGACCCAGGGACACAGUCAGGGACAGGCCCAGAAACAGUUUCAGAAUUGGGCCCAGGGACAGGCUCAGGGACACGCUCAAGAACAGGCCCAGUGGCAGACCCAGAUAGAGGCCCAGGGGCAGGCACAGGAACCAGCUCAGGGUGGGGCCCAGGGACAGGUUCAGGGACAGGCCCAGAAAUGGGCUCAGGGGCAGAUUCAGGGACAGGCCCAGAAACAGGUUCAAGGAGAGGUUCAGAAAUGGGCCCAGGAAGAGGCUCAGGGACAGGCCCAGUGGCAGACCCAGAUAAAGGCCCAGAAAUGGGCUCAGGAACAGACCCAGAAAGGGGCUCAGGAACGGGUUCAGGGUCAGGCCCAGAAAGGGGCUCAGGAACGGGCCCAGGAACAGGCUCAGGAGCAGACCCAGAUAGAGGCUCAGGGUCAGGCCCAGAAGGGGGCUCAGGAACGGGCUCGGGAACAGGCCCAGAAAGGGGCUCAGGAACGGGCUCGGGAACAGGCCCAGAAAGGGGCUCAGGAACGGGCUCGGGAACAGGCCCAGAAAGGGGCUCAGGAGCGGGCUCGGGAACAGGCCCAGAAAGGGGCUCAGGAACGGGCUCGGGAACAGGCCCAGAAAGGGGCUCAGGAACGGGCUCGGGAACAGGCCCAGAAAGGGGCUCAGGAACGGGCUCAGGAACAGGGUCGGGAGCAGACCCACAUAGAGGCUCAGGGUCAGGCCCAGAAAGGGGCUCAGGAAUGGGCUCGGGAUCGGGCUCGGGAUCAGGGCUGGGAGCAGACCCAGAUAGAGACUCAGAGGCAGACCCAGAAAGGGGCUCAGGAACGGGCUUGGGAACAGGGUCGGGAACAGGCCUUGACAAGUGGGAUGGCGCCUCGGGCCUGGGAGCAGCCCAUUAGUGGCAUAGCUGAGGGAGUGGAUGCUGCUGGCAGGAGUGGGGGGUCCAGAAGCCCAGCCCCCAGGGAUGGUGGACAGUCAGGGGGCAGUGGCCUGGGGGAGCCCAGCGCCGGGUACCCACCCCCAGGAAGCCGCCCCCUCAGGGGCAAGAGCAUUGCCACCUCUCCCCUGGGGCUGGGAAAGAGCCCAACUGAGCCCAAGCCUGAGGCUGGGGGCUGCGGGACUCCCCAGGCCCCGGCCCAGGAGGGGUCCCCAGACCACCCUGGGGCUGAGAGGGCCCUGCAGGACAGGAUGGAGGCAUCGGAGCCCGAGCGUCGCGGGAGGUCCAGGCACCUGGCCAAGUACAAAGCCCAGAGCUUCCGUGACCAGAGGGCCUUCGAUUUGUCCUUCAGACCAAUGAGCGUCAGGGCCAGCGACACGUCUGAGCUCCCAAAGUGAGGCCCCGAGUACACACCGUGGCUCGCCCAGCACUGUGACAUCCGCCCAUUGAGGGACUUCAGGCAUUUUCCUGCCUCCAAAUGCGUCUUGGAGCAUCCCCUACAGAGACGCCUGUUUCCAUAAUUUUCUUUCCCUUCUUCACAAGCUGACCUUGGGAGGAUUGAGCUACAUGUGGGUCGGGUUCCUGUCACCCCACAGAGCCACGAGGCCAUGGGGGUGGGAGGUGCGGGCCUGUGGCCUCACCAGGCCCUCGGGAUUCUUUGUGUCUUCACUCGGGGGCGCCGGCUCACCCCUCUCUCACACAGCCUGCAGCGUGGAGCUCACACCUCCCGCAGUGGCACGGUGUGUGCGUCCCCUUCGAUCUGCAGGAUGCUGGCACUUUGGGACACCUCCCCAGCUCUCACAGGGCCACCUCCCACUGCUCCCUGCCCACACCCCACCAUGCCCUGCUCUGACGUGGCCGCAUGGCACCCACCAUCCAUGGGCCCAAAGUGAUGCACACCGCCCCACCCCCAUGACUCGAAAGAAAGGGCAGAGCUUCCUCCAGCCUCAGACGCCCAGGUGGGUGCCGGGUGCUGUGUGGCUGCUGGGCCAUGUGGUGGUCACCAGAGGGUGUGGGGACGCUGGGAUCCCAGGCCGAAACCAGCUCAUCCGGAGGAAGAGGCCUCAGGAAAUGCCCACGUUAAGUUCUGAGAAAGGGACAGUGCAGAGCCGUGGGAAGCCAGGAUCCCAGGGAGGCUUCGUCUGGAAACUGGGUGCUGGGAGAACGAACGGGAGCCUGCCCGCCCUUCCCUGCAGUCCCUGUGGGUGGUGCCACUGGUGCCGGUGACCUGAGAGCCUCGCUGUCUGUCCUCCGUCCUCCCGAACAGCAUAGAAGUGUUUCCUGCCCUGGCCCGAGACGGCCCACGACUCCGGCCCUGUUCAGGUACUGAGGUAAUGCAUGUUCAGGCUGGAAUAUUUGAAUGCUGUCUAGAGGCACAAGAAGGAAAUCAAAGCCACCUGUGGUCACAUUGCCUCGAGAUGGUUUUUGUUGCUACUCUGGACUAUUUUUUAGGCUCUUCCUCCAUGCACCUAUUUUAAAGCACAUUCUUCCCCAUGAUGGAGCCAUGCACCUCCGUGUCGCGAUCCAUCGUCCCAGGCCACUCGGUGGCCUCUGAAACCCGGACCCGUGAGGCCACACGGCUGCCUGAGUGGCCCCGGAGCAGCUGGAUUUUCAGCGUGAACCGAUGCAGCCUGUCGCCCUACAGCCCCGCACCCUUGUUUUUGGUGGUGCCCUCCCUGUGGAAAGUUAAUUCCUGCUUUUUGAAGGUGUCUUGGCAUCUUCUGCCUUUGCUACUGAGCGGUUUCCUGAAACAGCCCUAAGCGUUCGCAAAGGCGCUUUGGUGCCUGCUGCGAGCACCUGUUUUCUGACUCGGAUGUUCCUUUAGAGGAAGGUGUUUUCCAGUGUCGGCCCUGAGAGGGCGUUCAGCAGGCGCGUCCUACCCACGCGGGGCUGAGGUCUCUCCUUCCAGGGAAGGUCCAUCCCGGCAGACGCCAGUGGCUUUGGCUCUGCAGCGCCAAGGAGGCGGCGUGGCGUCAUGCUCCGGGGAGCGCACAGGUUUCCUUCCAGUCGAACAAUUAACUUCAGAUCCAGCAGGUUUGACCCACCCUCACCUGCUGGGACAUGCGAGUGCUGGUGUCUGGAAGGAGGGCCGGGCUGUGCUGAGCUCUGGGGGGCCGGUCCCCACAGCUCCCCCGACAGGGCCCCCGGGGCCUCCUCUAUAAAUCAGGGGUCCGUGCUCCCAGCCCGCUUCGAGGGGUUUCUGCUUGGCGUGUGGGUUCUAAGUGCGAGCUGCUGUGUGUGGAGGCUCCUGAGCACCGGGUGCCCCUCGCGCGUGUGGGUCCCGGGGCAGCCCAGCUGCACACAGGAUGGUCCGGGGGUGCGGGUGGGGGCAGAGCUGAGCAUGGCGUGUACUUGGCCACAGAAGUCUUGCUGUGGUGCCGCUGGACCCCUGCUAGGAGGACAGGGUCCCCUCUCUCACGAAGCACACGGACCUCCAGAGUCCCUGCCCCUGCAGUCCUGGGAGCCUGCAGUUGGGGCUGGAGUUGGCCUCUCGGAGCCACCCAAACGGAGAGGCCCAUGAGAGGGGAGCUCAGGGGUCCAGCAGAGGCUGACAGAGUGGCCUCUUUGUCCUGUUGGCGGCCCCUGCUCAUGCCUGGGGCGUCCUCCCUGGAGCUGGGGGAGCUCAGGGACCCCCAGGUCUGUGUGGCUGCCCCUGCCACUCCAGGCACAGCGGCACGGCCCUCACUCUUUACCUAUUUGGAAUUGGAGGCAAUGAGUGGCAAGAACAUGAUGACAGACACGGGAGGUAAAAAUAUGUUCACUGGCUGUUCCCUUUAUAAAUAAGAAGUGGUGGGACUUGCGCUGCUAUUUUUAAAUAGACCAGAGAGUACACUGGAGAAGGCAUUGAGUGGUUUUAUUUUAAGUGGUGGAAAAAAUGAUGAGAAUCUCCUCCAGAUGACAGCUCCGGAAGUGUCGUGCCUGAACCCCUCUCACAGUCUGGCGGGCGCAGAGUCUGUGAGCGGCCAGGAGGCCACCUGCUCGACUGGCCCGUCCUCUCCAUGUGCCAGAUGCAGCCCAGCAUGACACUGCCCUCAGCUCAAAAACAGCACAGCUACUCUGUGUGCAGGAAAAAACUGCCAGUGACUUCACCAGGAUUUGAGAACGGUCCGUACGUUCACACUAAGCUGAGACAGCGCAGGUUAGAAGAUAGCGCGGGGAAGUAUUCACACUUCAGAUACGACCAUCACGGCCACAUGGCUAAGGCCCACACCCUCCCGGGGUGAAAUAACUACAGCAGAAGAAUGGGGCGCUAACCACCUCCACGGGCAUUUUAAAUAAAACCCAAAGUUGUUUUGUUUUUUUAAAAAAAAAAAAAAAGAAAGAAAGAAAGUGGCCGGGCACGGUGGCUCAUGCCUGUAAUCCCAGCACUUUGGGAGGCCGAGGCAGACAGAUCACGAGGUCAGGAGAUCAAGACCAUCCUGGCUAACACAGUGAAACCCUGUCUCUACUAAAAAUACAAAAAUUAGCCGGGCGUGGUGGUGGGUGCCUGUAGUCCCAGCUACUCGGGAGCCUGAGACAGGAGAAUGGCGUGAACCCGGGAGGUGGAGCUUGCAGUGAGCCGAGAUUGCGCCACUGCACUCCAGCCUGGGUGACAGAGCGAGACUCCGUCAAAAAAAAAAAAAAAAAGAAGAAAAGAAAAGAAAAGAAAACAGGAUAUUUAUUUUAGCUUCUUAGUUAACAUCAUUAAUUUUGUGUAGUUGAGCGACUCGUUGACUGCCUCCUCCCUGCAGUUUUUUACGGUGCCUCCGGCUGUCGACAGGCCCACUGUGAGCCGCAGGUCUGUGGGUGCAAGUGACAACAGCCGGGCGGGAGGCGGUGCACUCAGGCGGCAGGAAGGUCCCGAGACGGCGACGAGAAUGUGGUCAUGUUCAGGACACUCGCUCAGGGAGGGUCGUUGUCUGGGAUUUUACACGCUCAGCACCACCUCCUUAUUCUGUUCUCAGGGUAUCUCUGCUGUUGGAGUUACGGUCUUUCGGUUGUGUAUUAGGCUACAGCUAUUUAUUAAAUUUGUUCUUGUUCAUAUUCUUCUUUGUAUAUAAACAACCCUAAAAUGGGUUAGUCAGAAAAAAUUACUAAAUGUCAUUUGUUGUAUUCUCUCUGUAUUUUUACUAACAUCAUUCAGCUGGAAAUAAUUUCAAAAAGAAAUAAAAUACCUUUCCCAUUAC